GUCAGGACAACCUGAAGCUGUGUCACAGGAACCCAGCCAGCAUGCUUGUGAGAAGCAUGCCUGAGUCCUAGAGAGUCAAUAGUCUCUGAUGAAUGCCACCCAACAGUCAAUAUCAACUGAAAGCCAUCUGCGUGAGCCAUCUCAGUCCAGUCAAGCUAUCAACAUGACUGCAGCAGCACUGGAGACUGCAAGAAAGAAUUGCCCAGCUUAGGCCAGUCAACACACAGGAUUACAAAAGAUGAGAGAAAUGUGGAUCUGAA
RNAcentral lists this long non-coding RNA (260 nucleotides) under Homo sapiens (human). RNAcentral's name for it is "HSALNT0078289". Lineage: Eukaryota; Metazoa; Chordata; Mammalia; Primates; Hominidae. The record is from RNAcentral.